GUUCUUGUGAAGUCUAUCUUAGGGGUCGGCCCUAAAGUAAAGGAAUCCAUCAAAGAUCCCUUCAAGUAGGAGACUUGGUUGGGAAGCGUUCACAAUAGGCUUCGUGUCAGAGUUAAAGAAAACACGUUGGGGAGGGGAAAUUAGAUCAUUUUCACCCUCCAUCCCCAACGCCUCUCUCUCUCUCUCCAGCCGGCCGCUCUUCUUCACCGGCACCGUCUCCGCACUGGCCACCCUUCUUCACCGACAGUAUGAACGAGUUGUAGCUCUCUCUCUCUCUCUCUCUCUCUCUCUCUCUCUCUCUCUCUCUCUCUCUCUCUCUCUCCCUCUCCCUCCAACCUUUCUUCUUCACCGGCAAGGUCCUUUUCCCCCAACUCAGCUGCAUCUCUCUGAUUGUUCAAUCAGAACUGAUGGAACCAAGAUUUUCCCGUUGUUUGAAGAGCAUGGACAUGUUGGAGAGGUUGCUCUGAUCGAAGAUAAGAGAAUAAAAGAAAGCAAGACGUGUAGGCCUACUAAAAACCAGUUUUUAUCGCCAUGAGCAUUAUUUAGUCGACUCAUAAUGCUCAUGUUGAAGAAGAUAAUGUGGAAAUGGUUUUGGUUAACUUACCAAAACACAUGGUUUUGUAUUAAUUUAUAAAGUU
This is a long non-coding RNA of Alnus glutinosa, 638 nucleotides long. RefSeq lists it as uncharacterized. The transcript is spliced from 3 exons. The record is from RefSeq and is a predicted model, not a curated record. Lineage: Eukaryota; Viridiplantae; Streptophyta; Magnoliopsida; Fagales; Betulaceae.